GUCUACGGCCAUGCCACCCUGAACGCUCCUGAUCUCGGAAGCUAAGCAGGGUCGGGACUGGUUAGUACUUGGAUGGGAGACCGUCUGGGAAUACCGGGUGCUGUCGGCU
RNAcentral lists this ribosomal RNA (109 nucleotides) under Peromyscus maniculatus bairdii (prairie deer mouse). The record is from RNAcentral. Lineage: Eukaryota; Metazoa; Chordata; Mammalia; Rodentia; Cricetidae.